RNAcentral lists this ribosomal RNA (253 nucleotides) under uncultured bacterium. Its description in RNAcentral is "partial 16S ribosomal RNA". It matches the Rfam family "Bacterial small subunit ribosomal RNA", at positions 524 to 776 of the family's 1533-position model. The record is from RNAcentral.
UACGGGGGGGGCAAGCGUUGUUCGGAAUUACUGGGCGUAAAGGGCUCGUAGGCGGCCAACUAAGUCGGAUGUGAAAUCCCCAGGCUCAACUUGGGAACUGCAUCCGAUACUGGAUGGCUUGAAUUCGGGAGAGGGAUGCAGAAUUCCAGGUGUAGCGGUGAAAUGCGUAGAUAUCUGGAAGAACACCGAUGGCGAAGGCACUUUACUGGGCUAUUACUAACACUCAGAGACGAAAGCUAGGGUAGCAAAUGGG